RNAcentral lists this long non-coding RNA (1114 nucleotides) under Rattus norvegicus (Norway rat). RNAcentral's name for it is "long non-coding RNA NONRATT011370". Lineage: Eukaryota; Metazoa; Chordata; Mammalia; Rodentia; Muridae. The record is from RNAcentral.
GGGCCUGUCACCGUCCGCUGGCGACGUCGCGGCUGGAGUUGAACCUGGUGCGGCUGCUUUGUCGCUGUGAGUCGAUGGCGGCCGAAAAACGAGAACCGGACGAGUGGCGUCUGGAGAAGGUGAGGGAAUCCCACGCCGCCGCAGAGUCCUGGAGCCCUAAGGGCGGGUGAUCUAAUCCACAGGCUACUGUCUCCGCCCCUUCUGGUCGGCGGCGACACGCCCCUCGUGCGUAGACCCCUGACGUCCCGGUUUCUCUCCCUACGGCCUCACGCACAGGCCACGCCCUCUCGAUUCUACGUCUUCGCCUUUGCCCCCUCCCCUCUCUGGCUCCUCCUCUCCCGGUCCCACCCCUCUCCCUAGUUUGCUCCUGCCUUGGGGUACUGGCCUGGCUGACGUUGUACCUUCCUUCCCAGUAUGUGGGUGCCCUGGAAGACAUGCUGCAGGCCCUGAAAGUCCAAGCAAGGUGAGUGUGGGGGACCGAGACGCCUCCUCCCACGCUGCCACAGCAGCAGGUUGACUUUGUCCUGCUGCUUUUCAGUAAACCGGCGUUGCUCUAAGGACCAGCUGCCUGCUGGGAGUCCUUUCUGGGGCUGCGGUUCCCAGACUGUGAAAGAGCAGGGGAAACUGAGUCCCCAGUAGAACUGAGGGUGGUGCCAUGGCCCUGGGAUCCUUGGGAAGUGCCAUGUGGAUGUCUAUAUCUCCCUGUCACUACUGGGGAUCCACAAAUGUGGGGUCAGCAGUGUGAAGGGGCCUAGACCUGCAGAUGAGAAGCAGUCAGCGUCCGAGCUAGACCUCGUCCUCCAGAGGCACCAGGGCCUCCAGGAAAAGCUGGCUGAGGAGAUGCUAGGCUUGGCCCGCAGCCUGAAGACCAACACACUGGCUGCCCAGAGUGUCAUCAAGAAGGACAACCAGACCCUGUCACAUUCGCUCAAGAUGGCAGACCAGAACCUGGAGAAGCUGAAGCUGGAGUCAGAGCGGCUGGAGCAGCACGCACAGAAGUCGGUGAACUGGCUGCUGUGGGCCAUGCUCAUCGUCGUGUGCUUCGUGUUCAUCAGCAUGAUCCUGUUCAUACGCAUCAUGCCCAGACUGAAAUAAAACAACACCCGCCCGCCAA